RNAcentral lists this ribosomal RNA (253 nucleotides) under uncultured bacterium. RNAcentral describes it as "partial 16S ribosomal RNA". It matches the Rfam family "Bacterial small subunit ribosomal RNA", at positions 524 to 776 of the family's 1533-position model. The record is from RNAcentral.
GACAGAGGGUGCUAGCGUUGUUCGGAAUUACUGGGCGUAAAGGGCGCGUAGGCGGUCCGCUAAGUUCGGCGUGAAAUCCCCUGGCUCAACUGGGGAACUGCGCUGGAUACUGGUGGACUCGAGUACCGGAGAGGAGAGUGGAAUUCCUGGUGUAGCGGUGAAAUGCGUAGAUAUCAGGAGGAACACCGGUGGCGAAGGCGGCUCUCUGGACGGAUACUGACGCUGAGGCGCGAAAGCGUGGGGAGCAAACAGG